This 46-nucleotide non-coding RNA is filed under the name Companilactobacillus farciminis KCTC 3681 = DSM 20184. Lineage: Bacteria; Bacillati; Bacillota; Bacilli; Lactobacillales; Lactobacillaceae. The record is from RNAcentral.
GGUUGAGCGCAAGCUUUCAAGAUAACACUUCCGAGGGUAAGGAAGU